This 351-nucleotide ribosomal RNA is filed under the name uncultured bacterium. Its description in RNAcentral is "bacterial SSU rRNA". It matches the Rfam family "Bacterial small subunit ribosomal RNA", at positions 69 to 422 of the family's 1533-position model. The record is from RNAcentral.
CUCUUGGGGCUUCGGUUUCAAGGGAGUGGCGCACGGGUGAGUAGCGCGUGGGAACCUGCCCUGUUGUGGGGGAUAACCGAGGGAAACUUCGGCUAAUACCGCAUACGCCGGUUGUCUUGAAAGAGAUGGCCGGGAAAGAUUUAUCGCAGCAGGAGGGGCCCGCGUCGGAUUAGGUAGUUGGUGGGGUAACGGCCUACCAAGCCUUUGAUCCGUAGCUGGUCUGAGAGGAUGAUCAGCCACACUGGGACUGAGACACGGCCCAGACUCCUACGGGAGGCAGCAGUGGGGAAUAUUGGACAAUGGGCGCAAGCCUGAUCCAGCAAUGCCGCGUGAGUGAUGAAGGCCUUCGGG